CUUCCGAAGCACAUCCCUGUCUCUGCUCCGUGGGUGUGUGUGGAGGGGCCGAUGGAGCCGGCCGCACCGGCGACCAGUUUUCCUCGACGCCACCCCCGGCGCUGCCAACCCUCCUCCCCCCGCCUCCCUUCUCUUCCCUGUGCCCAGACUCUUGUUCGGGGCCUUGAAACAGUGAGCUGUCUUUGUUCGAAAUACAGGUGAACGGCAAUCAUGUGAUUAACACACACACACAUAAAAAGCUUUUUAACAGCGCCCGCCCGGCCUCAGAACCGCCCAGAGAGGAGCCGCCCUGGAUGGACAGAGGGCCGAGGGCCGAGCAUCCAGCUGGUCGUCCGGCUGCCCAGCAGUCUCCGACGCCGUGGCUGCCCGUCCGCUGCCCGCCUGCCUGGCAUCUCUUGAUCCUCCCGGAUCCAAGCCAGAUACCACAUUGCUUUUAGUUGUCCUGUCUCCGUCUCCUCCCCUGUGACAGUUCCUCAGGUAAUCUUUCCUUGUGUUUCAUGACCUUGACAUUUUUGAAGAGCACUUGUCAGGCAUUUUGUAGAAUGUCCCGCAAUGUGCGUUUUUCUCAUAUUUUCUCAGUAUUAGACUGAAGGUAUGGGUUUUGGGGGGUUGUCCUACUCUUUGCAUCAUGUUAGGGGAUACAUAGUGAUAUUGAUGAUGUCAAUGUGAUAUUGGUGAUGUCAAGAGUGAUCAGUGGUGAUGUCAACCUUGGUCACUGGGUUAAGGUGGUGUUGGCCACAUCCUCCACUGUCAAGAUUCCAUUUUCCUUUUUCCUUCUCUGUCAGAAGUGAAUCACUGAGUCUAGCUCGCAGAGGAGAGGGGAAUUAAGCUCCACCUCCAGCACCACAGGGUUUCCCAUUGCAUAUUGGUAAUUUCUUUCUCUGACAGUGAGAAGCCUGGCUCUUGUUAUCAAUUGUAUAUUUACCUAUUUGUCCAAACUGAGUGUAC
Long non-coding RNA from Myotis davidii, 948 nucleotides. RefSeq lists it as uncharacterized. NCBI's taxonomy places the organism in Eukaryota, Metazoa, Chordata, Mammalia, Chiroptera, Vespertilionidae. The record is from RefSeq and is a predicted model, not a curated record. The transcript has 3 exons.